AGGGGGACCUUCGGGCCUCUCACUAUCGGAUGAACCCAGAUGGGAUUAGCUAGUAGGCGGGGUAAUGGCCCACCUAGGCGACGAUCCCUAGCUGGUCUGAGAGGAUGACCAGCCACACUGGAACUGAGACACGGUCCAAACUCAUACGGGAGGCAGCAGUGGGGAAUAUUGCACAAUGGGCGCAAGCCUGAUGCAGCCAUGCCGCGUGUAUGAAGAAGGCCUUCGGGUUGUAAAGUACUUUCAGCGGGGAGGAAGGCGGUGCGGUUAAUAACCGCGCCGAUUGACGUUACCCGCAGAAGAAGCACCGGCUAACUCCGUGCCAGCAGCCGCGGUAAUACGGAGGGUGCAAGCGUUAAUCGGAAUUACUGGGCGUAAAGCGCACGCAGGCGGUCUGUUAAGUCAGAUGUGAAAUCCCCGGGCUUAACCUGGGAACUGCAUUUGAAACUGGCAGGCUUGAGUCUCGUAGAGGGGGGUAGAAUUCCAGGUGUAGCGGUGAAAUGCGUAGAGAUCUGGAGGAU
RNAcentral lists this ribosomal RNA (518 nucleotides) under Pantoea sp. RNAcentral describes it as "bacterial SSU rRNA". It matches the Rfam family "Bacterial small subunit ribosomal RNA", at positions 202 to 706 of the family's 1533-position model. The record is from RNAcentral. Lineage: Bacteria; Pseudomonadati; Pseudomonadota; Gammaproteobacteria; Enterobacterales; Erwiniaceae.